UGUAUGGCUGGUCGACCCGACCGGCCCCGAUGAACAGGCAGGAAGCCGGUGUGAAUCCGGCGCGGUCCCGCCACUGUGACCGGGGAGCGAACCCCACGUCGACCACGGCCGAGAGGCUGGAAGGUCGGGGUGAGCGCUGAUCCGGGAGUCAGGAUACUGCUCUCGUCGGCCCUCUUGCU
This 179-nucleotide non-coding RNA is filed under the name Mycolicibacterium gilvum. Lineage: Bacteria; Bacillati; Actinomycetota; Actinomycetes; Mycobacteriales; Mycobacteriaceae. RNAcentral also lists the same sequence under 1 other name. The record is from RNAcentral.